This 423-nucleotide ribosomal RNA is filed under the name Triticum aestivum (bread wheat). RNAcentral's name for it is "partial small subunit ribosomal RNA". The record is from RNAcentral. Lineage: Eukaryota; Viridiplantae; Streptophyta; Magnoliopsida; Poales; Poaceae.
AUGAGCAAGAGCUUAAGCCCUCGCUACCAAGGGCUCUCCACCUACGAGAAGAAGUAUAUUGCUAUUGUCGUCGCAGUAGAUCAAUGGCGAAUGUACUUGCGGCACAAAGAAUUCAUCAUCCACACAGACCAGAAGAGCUUAGUCCAUCUCGAAGAGCAGCGUCUCACUACACCCUGGCAGCAGUGGGCGUUUACCAAGAUACUCGGCCUUCAUUACAUCAUCAGAUACAAAAAAGGGACUGAGAACACAGCGGCUGACGCGCUGUCACGUGCCAAUUCACCAACAAUACUAUUCACCGUCACUUCAUGCCGCCCCAGUUGGCUCCAGGACGUCGUCAACAACUACAUUUGUAACCCGCAAGCCGAGAAGCUGCUCGCGCAACUGGCCAUCUGCGAAGAUCCAAAAGGUCGUUUCACACUCUAG